AAUUUAUGGAAGUCAACUUUCCAAAAUGCAAAGUCUUAAUUUUAUAAGCAAACAAACUGUCUACACCCCACACAUUUUGCGCAUAAUUUUUUUUCUUCUCCAAAAAAUCAAUCGUAAAAAGAGAGAGAAAGGAAAACAAUAUGGUUGAUGUGGUGGUUGAUGUGGUGGUGGAAAUUCUGUUAGAGAACUUGAAGAAAUUGGUGAUGGAGAAUGUGGAGUUAAUCGGAGGAAUUAAAAAUGAAAUCGAGAAUCUGUGUGAUGAUUUGAGUGAAUUCAAUGCCUUUCUCAAGCAAGCUGCAAUGGUCCGCAGCGAAAACCCAGUUCUGAAAGAAUUAGUGAGGAGUAUCAGGAAAGUGGUGAAUCGUACUGAAGAUGCUAUUGAUAAGUUUGUAAUAGAAGCUAAGGUUCAUAAGGACAAAGUGUUUAAAGGGGUUUUCAACAUACCUGUACAUUAUAAAAGAGUGAGGGACGUCGCUGUGGAGAUUAAAGAUAUCAGAGAUAAAAUGAGAGAAAUUCGGCAAAAUAAGGCACAUGGCCUUCAGGCACUUCAAGAUCAUGAUGAUUCAAUCAGCAGAGGUGGAGAAGAGAGACAGCCUCCUGUGGUUGAGGAAGAUGAUGUGGUGGGCUUUGACGAUGAGGCGCAGAUGGUAAUCGACCGUCUUCUUAAAGGAUCAGGUGAUUUAGAGGUUAUUACAGUUGUUGGAAUGCCUGGUCUUGGCAAAACUACACUAGCCACUAAGAUCUUCAAGCAUCCAAAGAUUGAGUACGAGUUCUUUACUCGACUUUGGCUUUAUGUUUCCCAAUCAUACAAGACAAGAGAAUUAUAUCUUAACAUCAUCAGUAAGUUAACCGGAAACACCAAGCAUUGCCGUCAUAUGUCUGAAAGGGAUUUAGCUCUUAAAGUAAGAGAGAUUUUGGAAGAAGGAGGAAAAUACUUGAUUGUCUUAGAUGAUGUCUGGUCGACAGAUGCUUGGGAUCGUAUCAAGAUUGCUUUCCCGAAAAAUGACAAGGACAAUAGAGUAUUGUUGACUACUCGAGAUCACAAUGUCGCAAGAUAUUGCAAUAGGAGUCCACAUGAUUUAAAAUUUCUGACUGAUGAAGAAAGUUGGAUUUUACUGGAGAAAAGAGCUUUACACAAAGCUAAAUGUCCCCCCGAAUUGGAAACAAAUGGAAAAAGCAUAGCCAGGAAGUGUAAAGGACUACCCCUUGCUAUUGUGGUGAUUGCAGGAGCUCUAAUUGGGAAAGGCAAGACAAUACAGGAAUGGGAGCAAGUGGAUCAGAGUGUGGGCGAACAUUUUAUAAAUAGAGAUCAGCCAAAUAAAUUGGUGCGGAUGAGUUAUGAUGUUUUGCCUUAUGACUGGAAAACUUGCUUUAUAUAUUUUGGUAUAUUCCCCAGAGGCUAUUUAAUCCCUGCCAGGAAAUUGAUCCGCUUAUGGAUCGCGGAAGGGUUCAUCCAGUACAGAGGGAAUUUAUCCCUUGAGUGUAAAGCAGAGAAUUACUUGAAUGAACUCGUGAAUAGAAAUUUAGUGAUGGUAAUGCAAAGGACGCUUGAUGGACAAAUCAAAACUUGUCGUGUUCAUGACAUGUUGUAUGAGUUUUGCUGGCAAGAGGCCACGACAGAGGAAAAUCUUUUCCAUGAAGUAAAAUUCGAUGGUGAGCAAUCUGUUCAUGAAGUAUCCACUCACCGUCGCUUGUGCAUUCAUUCCUCUGUUGUGGAAUUCAUUUCUAAGAAGCCCUCUGGUGAGCAUGUUAGGUCAUUCCUAUGUUUUUCUCCAGAAAAAAUUGACACUCCUCCAACUGUCAGUGCAAACAUAUCAAAAGCCUUUCCAUUGCUAAGAGUGUUUGAUACUGAAUCCAUCAAAAUCAAUCGCUUUUGCAAGGAGUUCUUUCAAUUGUAUCAUCUGAGGUAUAUUGCUUUCUCACUUGACUCGAUUAAAUUCCUUCCGAAACAUGUUGGGGAACUUUGGAACGUACAAACCCUCAUUGUCAACACACAACAGAUCAACUUUGAUAUUCAAGCAGACAUAUUGAACAUGCCCCGGCUAAGGCAUCUGCACACCAACACGUCUGCUAAAUUGCCUACGCCUGCUAACCCCAAAACAAGUAAGACUACCUUGGUAAAUCAAAGCCUGCAAACCCUCUCCACAAUUGCACCAGAAAGCUGCACUGAGUAUGUUCUCUCGAGAGCUCCGAACUUGAAAAAACUGGGCAUUCGUGGAAAAAUAGCUAAGCUAAUGGAACCAAGUCGGUCCAUAUUGUUCAACAAUGUUAAGAGGCUGCAAUUUCUUGAGAACUUGAAGCUGAUAAAUGUUGGUCAGACUGAUCAGACACAAUUACGCCUUCCUCCAGCAUCUCUAUUUCCAACUAAGUUGAGGAGGCUGACUUUAUCAGACACCUGGUUGGAGUGGGAUGAUAUGUCUGUAUUGAAACAGUUGGAGUACCUUCAAGUCUUGAAGCUGAAAGACAAUGCAUUUAAAGGAGAGCACUGGGAACUAAAUGAUGGAGGUUUUCCUUUCCUAGAAGUGUUAUGCAUUGAAAGGGCAAACUUAGUUUCUUGGAAUGCUUCCGGUGAUCACUUCCCGAGACUUAAACAUCUUCACAUAUCAUGUGAUAAACUUGAGAAGAUCCCCAUUGGCCUGGCCGAUAUACGCAGCCUCCAAGUGAUGGAUUUGCAAAAUUCCACCAAAUCAGCAGCAAAAUCUGCCCGAGAGAUACAAGCCAAAAAAAACAAGCUGCAAACUGCUAAAUCCCAGAAGUUCGAGCUUUCUGUAUUCCCUCCUGAUUCUGAUGUACAGACAGCUUCUUAGAAAGAUGCUAGUGAAAUUACCUAUGGAUUUUCGGUUGCAUUUAGUAAUUAUCUCACCUUAUGGCUUUUGAUAAAACUUCAAUUGGUAGUAACAUGUUCCUCCAUUUUUCUUGGUCUAAAAUAAUCGCAUGCUGCUGGUUCAACCAGCCUGGUUGGCGCGCAUGGUUUUUGCUUCAUUUGGCUCACUGCUCAAACAGCGAAGCCAAUUGCAUUUCAUAAGUGGAACGACUGAUCCACAGUUUUGUAACUCUUUGGUUUCUUACUGUAUUUGAUGUGUGUUCAUGUUUUAUUGAUUGUGGCUGUAAUGUGCCAUCGUAGCCGAGGAAUAAGAACCAAAUGUAACGUUCAAGAAAUCUCAGACAUUGAUACUUAUAAGUUAUACCACUCUGAAUUUUCUCCAUUCAGAUACAACAACAGAACAAUAGUCACUUGUUCUGAUUCAUACACAAUUUGAUCAUGUUUUAUUAUUUAAACAGCA
RNA transcript from Solanum tuberosum (potato), 3284 nucleotides. It is a transcript of the gene named putative late blight resistance protein homolog R1B-14, with no coding region annotated. Lineage: Eukaryota; Viridiplantae; Streptophyta; Magnoliopsida; Solanales; Solanaceae. The record is from RefSeq and is a predicted model, not a curated record. The transcript is spliced from 4 exons.